RNAcentral lists this ribosomal RNA (468 nucleotides) under uncultured bacterium. RNAcentral's name for it is "partial 16S ribosomal RNA". It matches the Rfam family "Bacterial small subunit ribosomal RNA", at positions 28 to 507 of the family's 1533-position model. The record is from RNAcentral.
GACGAACGCUGGCGGCGCGCCUAACACAUGCAAGUCGAACGGAGCUGAGAGAAGCUUGCUUUUCUUAGCUUAGUGGCGAACGGGUGAGUAACGCGUGAGUAACCUGCCCUGGAGUGGGGGACAACAGUUGGAAACGACUGCUAAUACCGCAUAAGCCCACGAUCCGGCAUCGGAUUGAGGGAAAAGGAUUUAUUCGCUUCAGGAUGGACUCGCGUCCAAUUAGCUAGUUGGUGAGGUAACGGCCCACCAAGGCGACGAUUGGUAGCCAGACUGAGAGGUUGAACGGCCACAUUGGGACUGAGACACGGCCCAGACUCCUACGGGAGGCAGCAGUGGGGGAUAUUGCACAAUGGGGGAAACCCUGAUGCAGCGACGCCGCGUGGAGGAAGAAGGUUUUCGGAUUGUAAACUCCUGUCGUUAGGGACGAUAAUGACGGUACCUAACAAGAAAGCACCGGCUAACUACGUG